RNAcentral lists this long non-coding RNA (215 nucleotides) under Carica papaya (papaya). RNAcentral describes it as "long non-coding RNA (CPAP_LNC000226)". Lineage: Eukaryota; Viridiplantae; Streptophyta; Magnoliopsida; Brassicales; Caricaceae. The record is from RNAcentral.
AUACUUCCUCUUCACAUCAAUGAAGAUGACUAACUAAUUAUUGGAGAAUAAUUAUAAUGUGAGAAGAGAAUAAUUGUAUAGGGUUGAUUAUUUUGUGCAGGUUAUGAAAAACGUACCGCUUAUUUUAUACUAUAACUUAUGAAAUCUUUGAACUGAAAUAAGAAUUAUAAACUGUUUAAAUUAAAUAAAGAAUUAUGACUAUUUUAAAAUGUGAC